GAAACCCUAACCCUAAAGGAGCAUUGGAAUUUCGUGGCAAGGAGGCAAAGCUUCAUCACAUAUCAGAUUCCAUUCCACUUCUAUUUUCCAUUAGGUAAUCAUCUCUUCCAUGGCCAUGUUUUGAUAUAUCUACGCUUGCUUACCAUGUUCAUCACCAUUAAUCCUUCCAUUUUCAUAUUUCUUUUUCUUAUUUAAAAUAUUUUCUUCGUCCAUAAAAUUACCCAAAAAUAUUUUUCACUUUUCUUAACGUUUUAUUUAAUUUUAUAUAAUUUUUAUUUUCGUAUUUUUUUAAUAUUAAUAUUUUAUUUUAAUUAUUUAUUCUAAAUGGUCCAUUUUAACACACUUUUUUUAUUGAUUUUAUUUUUAUGACUUAAAAUUAUUGUUAGCAUUUUAUUUUUGGGAUGAAGGUUGACCACUGUCUCAUGGUCAACCUGAGCUUUUCUUGGAAUUUUAUUUCACAUUUUCAAUUUAUUUUGGAUUUAGUUUUGACCUAGUUUGGUUGGUGGACUUUUAAUUUGACUUCUGUUUUAUUUUAAUUAAUUCACGUACCAAUUUUCAUUAUUUUUAAAAUCUUUUUGGGGGAUGAUGAUUUCCUGACUCCACCAUAUUUAGUUUAGUUUUUCAUAAUUUUCUUGAUUAAUUUACUAUUUAUUCUUGAUUUAUUUCUAACCUAGUCUUAUUAAUUGACUUUUGGUUUGACCUAUGUUUUGUUUUAAUUAAUUCACGUGCCAAUUUUCAUUAUUUUUAAAAUCUUUUUGGGGGAUGAUGAUGUUCUGACCCCAACUUAUUUAGUUUAAUUUUUCAUAAUUUUCUUGAUUAAUUUGCUAUUUAUUUGUUAUUUUUUAAGUUGACUUGAAUUUUCAGUUGACUUCUUUAUGAUCGAUGUUUGACUUAGGGAUUGCUUAUGGCAAUUGAAGAGAUCUUUUGAUCCUCCCUCGUUCAUCUCAUAUGCCAUGUAUUAGAGGCCUUUUACCUUGAUUUUAUUUGGUCCUUACCUCAUUUCCUGAUUAAAUUAUUCAGUGGACCCUUCGUGUGCAUAUUUUCAUCUGUUUGAUUCAUCUGUUAUCUUUUAUACUUGUUUCUCUCAUUCAUGCUUUCUAUUGCUUGAUUAUUUAACAUGUUCAUACUCCCAUGCAUUGUUUAAAUGCUCCAUUAUUUGAUUCUUUGGUUUGAUUAUAUAUUGUUUAUUUAUCCGAUCUGAUUGAUAACUGUUGCCUACUUGUAUGAUGUAUGAGGCAUAUAUUCUUAUUGUUUGUUUGCCAUGAACAAUCCUCAUUCAUAACAAAUGUACCCCUCUCCCAUAAAGUGUAUAAUAUUUAUUUCUUUAUUUCUUUAGUCACCUGUUAAUACAAGAAUUAAAACGAACAUCCGAUAACCAUUUCAAAAUAAGAUCAAAAGCUCGAUCCAACGUCGAGUAAUCAUUUUCAAAACUUAGCAGAACCAGCACGCAUUCAUCCAUCCUCUUGUAAGUCGAUUGCCUCCAGCAUCGCCAUCUACCUGUAAGUCGAUUGCCUCCGGCAUCACCAUCUACCCUUAUCCAUAACUCCUCUCCGCGCUCCAUCCGUCGACUCUUGUCCCAUUUAGGUAGCACCCAUUAGGUAGAACCCUUUGUAUGAUAACAUAGGUAGAAUUCCCUUAGUCUUUGCAUGCUAACAUUAGGUCAAUGUUCCCCUUUGUAAAUCCUAACACAUAGGUCCAUAUUGCAUGACAACUCUAGAGAAGAGCUUCCCAACUUUUAGACCUUCCGUGCAUCUUCGAUCUUGUGGCAUGUCAGUCCGUUCUAUUGCAAAGAGGUAACUGCCUAAGACUCGAUUCAACGAGCUGCGACACCUACUGCUAGGACGUUGAACACACUGCCCACCCUCCUUUGACACAGCUGGUGUCCUCUUUUGUAAGUCCAUGUUCAGAUGGCAAUCCUUAACCCCUAGUUAGCCGAACUACGUUUUUCUCUGAUUCUCAUUCCAGAUGAGAUACGUAGGCAUAAGACGCGACGUCUUACCGAGCACACUUCUCUUUAACCCAUAGGUAGCCGAGCUACGAAGACUCUGAUUCUCAUACUCAGAUGAGAUACGUAGGCAGUGGAUGCGACAUCCUUGCGAGUCAUUUUCUUUUAACCUUCCUUUUAGUAAAUAGUACUUUAGAUAUACCUACACCCUUUAGACUAGAACAACACUUAUGAAAAGGGCUCCCUAGGAGUACCUAGGAUGUUUUGGGUGCUUAAAACCUUCCCAUUGCAUAACCAACCCCCUUACCCAGAUCUCUGACAUUUUUACUAGUUUUUGAUUCGAUAAAACUUUUAGGUUUUUGUUCGCUUUCUAACCAUUCCUUUGGAUAAAUAGAAGUGCGGUGGCGACUCGACUUGUAUGGUUUACCUUGGAUUUAGUCAAUAUCUCUAAUGGUAACGAAUACCCCGCUACAGAAAAGUGGCGACUCUGCUGGGGACUAUCAUUUGCCUAGUGGGUUUUGCCUACUUUUCAUAUUUGUUGUAUUGUAUGGUAUAUUGUUUUGUGACAUAUUUUUGUGCAAUUUGGGAUUACUGUAUUGUAUGUAAUGAUUGAAUUGUUUGAAUAUUAAUUCCUUGUAUGCUUGGUGAUCUUUGUGAGAUGAGUUCUAUACCCGAACUCGAGUGCACUUAGGAUAGGAGAAUGGCAUAGUCUUGUUGACUUGUGUGGAGUUAUUCCUUAGCAAGUUGACUUGCAAGCCCAUUCACUUGGUGGAGGUUAUGUUGGGAUCAAUAAUGUCACACGAGUAGUCGUGGUUAGGCAUUACUCUUUCCAAUAUAUGCCUUAGAAGCCAAGGACCUUAGUUUACCACGCCCAUCUUGGCCUAUUUUUAGGACGUAGUGCGAAGGUCGUUCAAGUGUAAGAUUUGAUACGAUUGUUACGCGAUACUACACUCAUAAGAGUCUCUCUUGAGAAUAUUUUUGGAAUACGAGUAGUCGUUUAUCCGAUAAUAUCCGAAAGAUGGGAUGAUGACUAUGGGAACCUCUUGUAGAACAUGAUUGUCAGGUUUAACCAUAGUACACUCCCUUUGGGUGGUUCUUAACCAAGACUCCAUGCUCGCGACUCGCAACAAACCCUUGAUUCGUGGUUGAUCCGUUCUUGUGUAUCCUUAAUAUCAAUGGAACUUGGGUGUUGAUAAGGUGUAAACCAUAAUCCACCAAAAUGGAUGAUUGAUAUUAAGGAUGACUUGAUCCAUCCCAUGACCUUUGUGUGGUGUGAUUUGCUUGAUCCUUGAGUGUGAUUGUUGCAUCCAUGCAUUCAUGCAUUCAUACACAUCCAUAUCAUCAACAAUGAGAAAAUUUUCAAGGAACUUAAGAGGUCUAUUUGCAAAUUUUCAGACAUGGAUAAGCAAAGAAGGAAUACGAAGAAGUACAGUUUCAGACAACCCGACUUGAAAGAGUUAAGGAGUUUGACAUCCUAUGUAUUAGAUCCCUUGGAAUUCAAGGCUCGUCAUGGGAAGCUUCUGUCUAUUCUGGCUACUCAAGUGGAUGAAGGUCUAAUGAGUGUGUUGGUGCAGUUCUAUGAUCCCUUGUACCGUUGCUUCACUUUUCCGGAUUUCUAGCUUUUGCCCACGCUUGAGAAGUAUGCCUAUCUUGUGGGCAUACCUAUCCUAGACCAGUUGUCGUUCAGUGGCUUGGAGAGAGUUCCUUCUUCUCAAGAGAUUGUUGAUCUGUUGCGUAUAGAUGAAUCUAUUAUUGGUGCUCAUAUGACUACCAAAGGUGGAAUUCAAGGUCUCCCGUAUGAUUUCCUCAUUGAUCAAGCUACUAUGUUUGGGAAGGCCAUGAGUGAGGACGCCUUUGAGGCUAUAUUUGUACUUCUCAUCUAUGGGCUAGUGUUAUUUCCCAACAUCGACAACUUCGUGGAUGUGAAUGCUAUUAGGGUUUUCUCUUCUCUUAAUCCCGUUGCGACUCUGUUGGGUGACACUUAUUUCUCUUUGCAUAUGAGGAAUGCAAAGGGUGGUGGUUCCAUUGUGUGUUGUCUGCCUCUGUUGUACAAGUGGUUUAUUUCUCACUUGCCUCAGACACUUGCCUUCAAGGAGAACAAGAGAUGUCUACGGUGGUCCACGAGACUUAUGUCUCUCACUAAUGAUGAUAUAUCUUGGUAUAAUCUUGUUUAUGAUGGUGUGCAUAUCAUCGACUCUUGUGGUGAAUUCUCCAAUGUACCUCUUCUUGGUACAUGCGGUGGAAUUAACUACAACCCGCUUUGGCUCGCCGUCAGCUUGGGUUCCCCUUAAAGGAUAAACCUAACAACAUUUCGUUGGAAGGUUUAUUCUUUCAAGAGGGUAAAGAUCCCCAAAACUUGAAGGAUAGGAUGGUCCGCGCUUGGCGCAAGAUCCAUAAGAAAGGUAGGAAGGAGCUAGGUCCGAAGAACUGUAUCGCUUUGGAACCCUAUACCUCUUGGGUUAGGAGGAGAUCUUUCGAGUACCUCAUGCCUUAUGAGUAUCAAAGACUCACACCUUUGGUUGUGGCUAGGCCUUCAACCCUCCCUAGCCAAGGAGUAGAGGAGUUGAGAGACGAAGAUCGUUCGCGUGCUUGGAUCCGUGAACGAGAGGAGUUGCUUCAGCAGAUCAGAGAGAAGGAUGCUUUGAUAGAGUUCCUUGAGCACCAGGUUAUUGAUGAUCCUGAUGACGCAUUGACUUCUCUACUUCCUCAGUCUUCCAAGUUUUGGAAGAGGAAGUAUGAUCGACUCGCCAAAGAGAAGGCAGAUAUGGAGGCAGCCUAUGAGAGGGAGGUGAAGAGGCUUCGUGCAGCUUAUCUUCCGGUCUCGAGGGCUUUGGACGAUUGCUUCUAGGGAUCCAUAGGAUGUUCAUUUUCCUUCUCUCUUGUAUUGUAUUUGGUUACCAAGACUGUACUUCUUUGGCGUAAAAACAUUUCCAAAUAUUAAUUGACGUGAUAUUUCCGUAUGUGAUAAACGUUUAAUAUUUCCAAAAUUUGCAAAUAAGACUCUAAAGUUCCUCUGAUAUAAAAAUUAAAUCAUAAGCAUUGCAUGCAUCAUGUUUAUCUAUUCCUAGGGGUUUAUAUCUUCUUCUUGAUUCUAGUCGGGGUUUUCUUACACUGUUUAUCUAAUGUGAGACUGGAAUCAAGGGGUAGAAUACCCUUUGAAAUUGAUAAACAUGUCAUUGCAUUUGCAUAUUCAUUAGCAUGUCUUGCAUAACAGGUACCGCCGCAGUGUUCUCAUCUUGUUUGGUAUUCCAUUAUUAGGAUAGCUGACUCAGGCAUUCACCGAUACGGUACCCGAAGGAAUCAACAGAGAGCAAUGGAAGGUUUACAAGCAGAGCUCGCUGAGAUGAGGAUUCGCAUGAAUCAGUUCAUGGAAGUGGUCCAAGGAGUGGCUCAGGGACAGCAGGAGAUUAGAUUGUUGGUACAGGGGAAUCCCCCUACUACUCAACCGGAGGUUGUGGCUGAUCCUCCCGCUGGAGAGGCUAAUGGACCCAAUGGACCGGGGCCUAUCCCAAUCCCACAUGGCAACCUUGGUCAACAACCCAUCCAUGAUGAUCAGGAGGAUCAAUUCCCCCUGCUUCAGGAGGACUUUGGCAUGGGCCAUGGUAUGGACCCUAUGUUUCGGAGACUGGAAGAGAGGUUGAAAGCUGUGGAAGGGCAGAAUGCUCUUGGUGUGGAUGUUGCUGACUUGGGGUUGGUCCCAGGCGUGAGAGUUCCGCCAAAAUUCAAAGUCCCCGUGUUUGAUAAGUACAAUGGCAACUCUUGCCCGAAGACUCAUGUACAAGCUUACUUCCGCAAGAUGAUCGCGUAUUCUGAUGAUGAGAAGCUGCUCAUGUACUUCUUCCAGGACAACCUAGCUGGGGCAUCCUUGGAGUGGUAUAUGAGGCUGGACAGAGCCCAUAUUCGCUGCUGGAGAGACUUGGCUGAGGCCUUUGUGAAGCAAUAUCAGUACAAUGCGGAUAUGGCACCUGACAGGACUCAGCUCCAGAAUCUGUCUCUCAAGAGCAACGAGUGCUUCAAAGAGUAUGCUCAACGCUGGAGAGAGUUGGCUUCCCGUGUUCAGCCUCCGAUGUUGGAAAAAGAGAUGGCCAACAUGUUUAUGAACACACUUCCUGGAUCUUAUUUGGAGCGUCUGGUGGGUUGCAACGCCUCGAAUUUUGCUGAUGUGGUCUCUACCGGUGAGAGGGUGGAGAACUACUUGAAGACAUGUAAGAUCCAAAAUGGGGUUGGAUCAUCUUCGGGGUCAAAGAAGCCGUUCUUAGGAGGACAGAAGAGGAGAGAAGGGGAUGCAAAUGCCAUAUCUUCUUAUCAGAACAGGGGUAACCGGAGGAAUAACUUUCAGAAUUACCAUCAACAACCUUAUGUUGCAGCAGUGACCAUUCCGGCUACAGCACCAGUGCAACAACAACAACCUCAACGUCAACAAAAUCAAUACCAACAACAACAGGGUAACAGACCUGCUUAUCAACAGAGACAGAGGAUGAUGGAUAGGCGUUUCGACACUCUUCCGAUGUCGUAUGCCCAGUUGCUUCCCAACCUUCAACAUUUGCAACUUGUGCAGUUACGCACUUUGGCUCCUCCCGUUGGCAGGCUUCCAGUGGGUUAUGACGCCAAUGCUAGGUGUAAUUUCCACUCUGGGGCACCUGGCCACACUAUUGAGAACUGCAAAGCUUUUAAGCACGUAGUUCAGGACCUUAUUGAUUCAAAGGCCAUUAACUUUGCGCCGGCUCCUAAUGUUGUCAACAAUCCUAUGCCGCAGCAUGGUAGAGCAAAUGUUAACAUGGUUGAAGGAGAAGUCAAAUUAGUCAAGGAGGUGUUAAAGCUGAAGACUCUGCUAUUAGAAAUCAAAGAAUACUUGCUAAAGGCAGAUGUUUUCCCCGACUGUGGGAGUGGUUGUUUGGGUUGUGUUGCACAGAGUGGGGGUUGUGUGAAGCUGCAGUAGGGUAUCCAGGCCUUGCUUGACGAUGGUAUCCUCCAAGUUGAAGACUUAUAUGCCCAAAGGUCUCUUGAAGGGGUUGUUGAAGGGGUUGUUGAGAAUUCAGAUGUUGAUCCUCUCUUUCUUGAAGAUGCUGAAGAAUUUACAAAUGUUGUUCCUGCUGAUUUUAUAAUUCCCAAUGAUGUAAUUAAUUUUUCUAAUGUUGUUGCUGAUAUUCCAAACAUGGUGUUUGAUUCUGAUGUACUUACUGAACUUGAUUCCGAUGUUUCGGAUGUUUGUACUUCAAAAAAUAAGAUUUCUGAGUAUGACUGUGACGUUGCCACUAUCACAAUUUUCUACCCGACCGCUCAGAUCAGUGCGCCAGUAGCGCAAUCGGUACCACCAGUGCGACCGCAUCAAUCCACUAUGACCAUCACGACCCCUGGUCCUUUACCUUUCACCAGCGAAAGGGUCAUUCCUUGGCAUUACGUGGGGAGUGUAUACACGCAUGAUCAUGGAGUGGAGCAGCCACUGAAAGUAGAAGAGGUGCAGGAUCAGAAGUCUGAACCUGGAAUUGAGAUAAAAGAUCCCGCAGUGGACAAUGUUUGUGGAAUCGAGCGAUUCACCAGAAGUGGUAGACUGUUCUCACCACCGGUUACCCAACCUGAUAGUGUUGACGCCGCGGCGAAGGCCAAAGGCAAGCAAGUUGUGAAUGAGGGUACCUCUGCACCACAAGCUGGCUCUGAGCCUGCUUUUGCGAAGGAUGUGGACGAACUUUUGAGAAUUAUAAAGAAAAGCGAUUACAAGGUAGUCGAUCAGUUGAUUCAGACGCCAUCCAAGAUAUCUAUUCUCUCACUCCUGCUGUGUUCGGAGGCACACAGUGAGGCACUCCUGAAGGUCCUUAAUGCUGCAUAUGUGCCUUAUGAGAUCUCAGUGAACCAACUAGAAGGGAUUGUUGCAAAUGUUCAUGCAAGCAACGGGUUGGGUUUACUGAUUCUGACUUGACACCGGCUGGACGCAAUCAUAACAAGGCUUUGCACAUCUCGAUGGAGUGUAAAGACACUGUGAUAUCCCAUGUUCUGGUGGAUAUAGGAUCCUCUCUCAAUGUGCUACCCAAGAGAGCCCUGUCAAGGUUAGAUGUAGAAGGUUUGAUCUUGAAGCCUUCCGAUCUUGUGGUAAGAGCCUUCGAUGGUUCUAAGAGAUCGGUGUUCAGAGUGGUAGAAUUGCCAAUUCAGAUUGGAUCACAAACCUUUAACACCAUAUUCUAUGUGAUGGAUAUCAGUCCUUCGUAUAGCUGCUUGCUGGGUCGUCCUUGGACCCACAAUGCUGGGGCAGUCUCCUCGACCUUGCAUCAGAAUAUCAAGUUCCCGGUCAACGGAAGAAUUAUCACUGUCUGUGGUGAGGAGGAUAUUCUGGUCAGUAACCUGUCUACAUUCAAGUAUGUAGAGGUAGAAGGUGAGAUUCAUGAGACCCUGUGUCAGGCCUUUGAGGCAGUUCAAGUCAAGGAUGCAGCUCCAGUGGAAGAGGUUGAAGCAGGUGCAUCUUUGUCGUCCUUCAAGCAGGCACAGGCCUUGGUAAAUUCAGGUGUCGCUCCCGGUUGGGGACGUCUGGUGGAUUUACCUAUAAAGGAAGACAAGUUUGGGAUUGGGUAUCAGUCGGCAUUGACGUCUACAACUUCAACGCCUCAGACUCGUCAGGGGCCGAUUACUUUCUCUAGUGUUGGCAUCAUUCAGUACGGCCAGAUCUCUGCAAUCAACAAAGAAGAUGGGGAUAGUGAUUGCGACAUUGACAACUAGGUGCAUCCAAGGGUCCCGGGUGAAGUUCUCCGCAACUGGUCUUCUGAAGAGAUUAUCCAAGUCACUCUUCUUAAAGAGUAAUUUUCUUUGUUUUUUCUUGCAUAUCCAAGUCUUACGUUCCGCCCAGGGCGUGAUGACUCAUUGUAGGGCUCAUCUAUGUGGAUACCUGCAUUUUUUAUCAUAAAUAAAGGACGUCUUUUUGCAUUCAAAUAUUUUGUUCACUGUCUUUCUAUUUUUGCAGUUUUCAAAAAUCAAAAAUAUAAAAAAAAAAAUAUACAUUUGGCAAUGUUUUGUUUAGUUUCCACUUCUUGUUCACACUCAUAAGCACAUACCAUCACUCAUGCAGAUGCACGUCACCGGAUCCUAUUGAUAACAGUUCUGCUAUGGCUCGCUUCGACUUUGAAAAUCCAAUCUUUCAAGCUGAAGAAGAGGGUGAUGAAGACUGUGAACUCCCUGAAGAACUUGCCAGGUUAUUAAAACAGGAGGAAAGGGUCAUUCAACCGCAUCAAGAGUCUGUUGAAGUGAUUAAUCUCGGCACCGAGGACGCCAAGAGAGAAAUCAAGAUAGGGGCUGCUUUGGAAGAUAAUGUGAAGAAGGGGCUGAUUGAAUUGCUGCAAGAGUAUGUUGACAUCUUCGCUUGGUCUUAUCAGGACAUGCCAGGGCUUGACACAGACAUUGUGGUACACCGUUUGCCUCUCAAAGAGGAUUGUCCUCCGGUCAAGCAGAAGCUCAGAAGAACAAGACCAGAGAUGGCUGUCAAGAUAAAGGAAGAAGUGCAAAAACAGUUGGAUGCAGGGUUUCUAGCAGUCACCAAUUAUCCGCCAUGGGUUGCAAACAUCGUCCCAGUACCUAAGAAGGAUGGAAAGGUACGGAUGUGUGUCGACUACCGGGAUCUGAACAGAGCUAGCCCUAAAGAUGAUUUCCCAUUACCUCACAUCGACGUUUUGGUGGAUAAUACAGCUCAGUUCUCGGUAUUCUCCUUCAUGGAUGGCUUUUCUGGCUAUAACCAAAUCAAGAUGGCACCAGAAGACAUGGAGAAGACAACUUUCAUAACCCCAUGGGGCACCUUCUGCUACAAGGUGAUGCCGUUUGGUCUGAAAAAUGCCGGAGCAACAUAUCAACGAGCUAUGGUAACUCUGUUCCAUGAUAUGAUUCAUCAUGAAAUCGAGGUUUAUGUGGAUGAUAUGAUUGCCAAAUCUCAGACAGAAGAAGAACAUUUGGUGAAUUUGCAGAAACUGUUUGAGCGUUUGAGGAAAUUCAAGCUGAGGCUUAAUCCGAACAAGUGUACUUUUGGGGUGAGAUCUGGAAAACUACUGGGUUUUGUUGUUAGCGGAAAAGGGAUUGAGGUGGAUCCGGCCAAAGUGAAAGCGAUACAGGAAAUGCCUGAGCCAAGAACAGAGAAACAAGUCUGUGGUUUCUUAGGGAGGUUGAACUACAUUGCAAGGUUCAUCUCUCACCUAACAGCCACGUGUGAGCCAAUAUUCAAAUUGUUGAGAAAAGAUCAGGCUAUCAGGUGGAAUGAUGAUUGUCAAAGGGCGUUCGAGAAGAUAAAAGAGUAUUUGCAGAAUCCUCCUAUCCUUGUGCCUCCGGUCCCAGGGAGACCGCUGAUUAUGUAUUUGACAGUACUAGACAAUUCCAUGGGUUGUGUUCUCGGUCAACACGACGAGACAGGUAGGAAAGAGCAUGCCAUCUACUACCUGAGUAAGAAAUUCACAGAUUGCGAGUCGAGAUACUCAAUGCUUGAAAAAACAUGUUGUGCACUUGCAUGGGCUGCGAAGCGAUUGAGACAAUACAUGCUGUCUCACACAACCUUACUGAUCUCCAAAAUGGAUCCAGUCAAGUAUAUAUUUGAGAAGCCAGCUCUCACCGGAAGGGUUGCUCGUUGGCAAAUGGUACUGACAGAGUACGACAUCCAGUAUACAUCCCAGAAAGCCAUCAAAGGGAGUAUUCUGUCAGACUAUCUUGCUCAGUAGCCGAUUGAUGAUUAUGAGCCGAUGAAGUUUGAUUUUCCGGAUGAAGACAUCAUGUUCCUCGAGAUGAAAGACUGUGAAGAGCCAGUUGUUGAGGAGGGACCUGAUCCAGAUGAAAAGUGGACUUUAAUGUUUGAUGGGCCGUCAAUGCCAAAGGAAGUGGAAUUGGUGCUGUCAUUACCACCCCGAAAGGUGCCCACAUGCCUUUCACCGCUCGUCUGACUUUCGAGUGCACCAAUAAUGAAGCUGAGUAUGAGGCUUGUAUCUUGUGUAUCGAGCAAGCCAUUGAUUUGAGAAUCAAGACUCUAGACAUCUUCGGAGAUUCAGCUAUAGUGAUCAAUCAAGUGAAUGGUGAUUGGAAUACUCUCCGGCCUAAUCUAGUCCCCUACAGAGAGUACACGAGAAGACUGUUGACUUUAUUCACAACAGUAAAGCUAUAUCAUAUACCUCGUGACGACAAUCAGAUGGCAGAUGCUCUUGCUACUCUAUCCUCCAUGAUCAAGGUGAUUCGGUGGAACCAUGUUCCCAGGAUUGAUGUUAUGCGCCUUGAUAGGGCUGCGUAUGUGUUUGCUGCUGAAGUGGUAGUUGAUGACAAGCCAUGGUAUCACGACAUCAAGUGCUUUCUGAAGAAUCAAGAGUACCCUGCAGGGGAAUCCAACAAUGAUAGAAAGACUUUGAGAAGAUUGGCAGGAACUUUCUUCUUGAACAAAGACGAUGUGCUGUAUAAGAGGAACUUCGACAUGGUUUUGCUCAGAUGCAUGGAUAGACACGAAGCAGACAUGUUAAUGCAGGAAGUUCAUGAAGGCUCCUUCGGUACUCAUAAGGAUGGAAAGGUACGGAUGUGUGUUGACUACCGGGAUCUGAACAGAGCUAGUCCUAAAGAUGAUUUCCCAUUACCUCACAUCGACGUUUUGGUGGAUAACACGGCUCAGUUCUCGGUAUUCUCCUUCAUGAAUGGCUUUUCUGGCUAUAAUCAAAUUAAGAUGGCACCAGAAGACAUGGAGAAGACAACUUUCAUAACCCCAUGGGGCACCUUCUGCUACAAGGUGAUACCGUUUGGUCUGAGAAAUGCUGGGGAAACAUAUCAACGAGCUAUGGUAACUCUUUUCCAUGAUAUGAUUCAUCAUGAAAUCGAGGUUUAUGUUGAUGAUAUGAUUUCCAAAUCUCAGACGGAAGAAGAACAUCUGGUGAAUUUGCAGAAGCUGUUUGAGCGUUUGAGGAAAUUCAAGCUGAGGCUUAAUCUGGAAAAGUGUUGGGUUUUAUUGUUAGUGAAAAAGGGAUUGAGGUGGAUUCGGCCAAAGUGAAAGCAAUACCAGAAAUGCCUUAGCCAAGAACAGAAAAACAAGUUUGUGGUUUCUUAGGAAGGUUGAACUACAUUGCAAGGUUCAUCUCUCACCUAACAGCCACGUGUGAGCCAAUAUUCAAAUUGUUGAGAAAAGAUCAGGCCAUCAGGUGGAAUGAUGAUUGCCAAAGGGCUUUCGAGAAGAUAAAAGAGUAUUUGCAGAAUCCUCCAAUCCUUAUGCCUCCAGUCCCAGGGAGACCGCUGAUUAUGUAUUUGACAGUACUUGAUAAUUCCAUGGGUUGUGUUCUCGGUCAACACGACGAGACAGGUAGGAAAGAGCAUGCCAUCUACUACCUGAGUAAAAAAUUCACAGAUUGCGAGUCGAGAUACUCAAUGCUUGAAAAAACAUGUUGUGCACUUGCAUGGGCUGCUAAGCGAUUGAGACAAUACAUGCUGACUCACACAACCUUACUGAUCUCCAAAAUGGAUCCAGUCAAGUAUAUAUUUGAGAAGCCAGCUCUCACCGGAAGGGUUGCUCGUUGGCAAAUGGUACUGACAGAGUACGACAUCCAGUAUACAUCCCAGAAAGCCAUCAAAGGGAGUAUUCUGUCAGACUAUCUUGCUCAGCAGCCGAUUGAUGAUUAUGAGCCGAUGAAGUUUGAUUUUCCAGAUGAAGACAUCAUGUUCCUCAAGAUGAAAGACUGUGAAGAGCCAGUUGUUGAGGAGGGACCUGAUCCAGAUGAAAAGUGGACUUUAAUGUUUGAUGGGGCCGUCAAUGCCAAAGGAAGUGGAAUUGGUGCUGUCAUUACCACUCUGAAAGGUGCCCACAUGCCUUUCACCGCUCGUCUGACUUUCGAGUGCACCAAUAAUGAAGCUGAGUAUGAAGCCUGUAUCUUGGGUAUUGAGCAAGCCAUUGAUUUGAGAAUCAAGACUUUGGACAUCUUCGGAGAUUCAGCUCUGGUAAUCAAUCAAGUGAAUGGUGAUUGGAACACUCUCCAGCCUACUCUGGUCCCCUACAGAGAUUACACGAGAAGACUGUUGACUUUCUUCACAACAGUAAAGUUGUAUCAUAUACCUCGUGAUGAGAACCAGAUGGCAGAUGCUCUUGCUACUCUAUCCUCCAUGAUCAAGGUGAUUCGGUGGAACCAUGUUCCCAGGAUCGAUGUUAUGCGCCUUGAUAGGGCCGCGUAUGUGUUUGCUGCUGAACUGGUAGUUGAUGACAAGCCCUGGUAUCACGACAUCAAGUGCUUUCUGAAGAAUCAAGAGUACCCUGCAGGGGCAUCCAACAAUGAUAGAAAGACUUUGAGAAGAUUGGCAGGCAGUUUCUUCUUGAACAAAGACGAUGUGCUGUAUAAGAGGAACUUCGACAUGGUUUUGCUCAGAUGCGUGGAUAGACACGAAGCAGACAUGUUAAUGCAGGAAGUUCAUGAAGGCUCCUUCGGUACUCAUGCCGGCGGACAUGCAAUGGCUAAGAAAUUGUUGAGAGCGGGUUAUUACUGGAUGACCAUGGAAUCAGAUUGUUUCAAGUAUGCUCGGAAGUGUCAUAAAUGCCAGAUUUAUGCUGAUAAGGUGCAUGUACCGCCGAAUCCUCUGAAUGUGAUGUCUUCGCCGUGGCCGUUUGCUAUGUGGGGCAUUGACAUGAUUGGAAAGAUUGAGCCGACUGCUUCCAAUGGGCAUCGCUUCAUCCUUGUUGCCAUCGACUAUUUCACCAAGUGGGUCGAGGCAGCGUCGUUCGCGAAUGUCACCAGACAUGUGGUUGCCCGUUUCAUCAAGAAAGAAAUCAUUUGUCGCUAUGGGAUUCCCGAAAGAAUCAUUACUGAUAAUGGUUCUAAUCUCAACAACAAAAUGAUGAAGGAGUUGUGUCAGAACUUCAACAUUCAGCAUCACAAUUCUUCCCCUUACCGCCCUAAGAUGAACGGUGCUGUUGAGGCGGCAAAUAAGAACAUAAAGAAGAUUGUGCAGAAGAUGGUCGUUACGUACAGAGAUUGGCAUGAGAUGCUACCCUUCGCCUUGCAUGGGUACCGUACUUCAGUACGUACAUCGACCGGGGCAACCCCUUACUCCCUUGUGUAUGGUAUGGAAGCAGUCCUACCUGUUGAAGUGGAGAUUCCUUCUCUAAGAGUCCUGUUGGAUGUCAAGUUAGACGAAGCUGAAUGGAUUCGGACAAGGUUCAAUGAGUUGAGUCUUAUCGAAGAGAAGCGAAUGGCAGCCAUUUGUCAUGGGCAGUUGUAUCAGAGUCGGAUGAAGAGAGCCUUUGAUCAGAAAGUGCGUCCUCGUUGUUUCCAAGUCGGAGAUUUAGUGUUGAAAAGGAUCCUUCCUCCUCAGACAGAUCACAGGGGCAAGUGGACUCCUAACUAUGAUGGACCGUAUAUUGUCACCAAGGUUUUUGAUGGUGGGGCCUUAAUGCUUGCAACUAUGGAUGGUGAAAACUUCACUUCCCCUGUGAACUCAGACGCAGUUAAAAAAUACUUCGCAUAAAAUAGACCCGCUGGACAGUAAAAAGAAUAGUCCAGGCAAAAAUGGGCAUCCCGACGAACCAAGAAAAUGAAAAGGUUCGGGCAAAAAUUAGGGAUUAAAAAUGAAAAGAUCGUACACCCGGUAAGUUGAAAACCUGAAAAGGCAACUUAGGCAAAAAUGGGUAUCCCGGUGGAUUGAAAACCCGAAAAGGGCGAUCCAGGCAAAAGUUAGGGAUUAAGCGAAUGACUGCGUUCUGAGUAGUUCUGAAUCUCAUCUCGUGCCAAUGACUGGAAAUUUUUGAAGGAUAGGAAACAGUCCAAUCACUCUUUCAGAAAGCUGAUCAUCUGGAGGAUCUUGAAGACGAGCAAGUCAUAGCAGAAUUGGAACCCAAUAGAAAUCCAUUUCACAUUGCCAUUAGAUUAAUUUCUGUUUUUAUCUUUUGUGCGAUUACCUCUUUCCAGGGAUUGCUUCCUGAUGUAAAUGCCUAUUCAGAGGCCAUUCAAUCAAUAAAAUCAUGUUAUUCAGUAUAUCUCUGUUUUCAUUUUCAUUUUACUGUUUUGUUUGCAAAAAUGACGUCCGAAUUUUUGAUAAACAUUGCAUCAUGACACAUAAGGGCUUUACAGGUACAUGCUUAAUAAACAUUUAAAAUUGCUGUAAAUUUUAAGUGCUUUGGAUCGUCUAUUCAGAACAGGUACACUCGGGGCAUUUCCUUAAGGUCCCCAUCAAAUGAUCACGGAUGUUUUUCCUCAACAGUUGGAAUUUGGUAUCUUAUCCCUGCAAAGCUGGUCCGAGCGUUGGAUUCUUCAAUCCCCAACAGGCUCUCACUGAUGUACUUCCCUAAGCAUUUGUUUCAGAUUAUACAUUCACCAGUAGAGUCGACAGUGUCUGACUGUAUAUCCCCAACGGAGUUGACAGUGCCAAACUGUAUCUUCCCAGUGGAAGCGGCUGCUCCUCAGAGUUCGAUGCCAGAUCGAUGAUCUCGACGCUAGACCCAUGGUCUCUUUCCUUGAAGCAGAAUCUCGGUACCGUAUCGGUGUUUGCUUCCCUUGCUGAGUCGUCUCUCUCGCAGAUUAUGGUUGCCAGAACCACUGUCGCUUUCCUCAGCAGCAAGUUUCCAGUGCCAUUCUAUCCCCAGUCAGAGCCUCGGUAUUUUGUUAUUUUCCAGAACACCGUGUGGCGGGUCAUUUCCCCACAGAGUUCUUUGUGUUGUGCAUCUCCAACAGCCUUGCCAGGGUCCAGAAGAUGGUGAUCAUUUCCCCAGCAGAAUUCCUUGCCUUAGCUUGGCGUUCUCUCUAAUCAAGCAUUUCGCAUCCCUGCAUGUAGAAUCAUAUUGCAUUGCAUCCUCCCAAAUUGUGUAGAAUUUCCAUUUUCAUGGCGCAUUACGCCAUUGAAAAAUUCAAACAUACGCAUGUAAAGCAUAAGGAAUUCUCGGUAUCCCAAGUGAUAAGCAAGAAGUUGUUUCCAGUACUCAGACUGAAGAUUGUUCAUGACUUAUCUUUAUUAUUUCCAGCAGGGGUAGUUGGCCCACGCGCCGCCUCAAUUAUCACUUUCCCUAUUUCUGCUGAUGCUGACAGGCAUGAAAGUUUCCGGUAUUCAGACCGAAGUGGCAUUCAGGAUAGUUUUCCGAUGUUCAGAUCGAAGAAGUUUCCGACAUUCAGGUCGAUGCAACUUGUGGCAUUCAGGCGAGUUUUCUGGUAUUCAGACUGAAGUGGCACUCAGGCCAAUUUCCCGGUGUUCAGACCGAUGUUUGAUAAUCUAAUAUCUUCUGAUGUUCAGAUCGAAGAAGUUUCCUACAUUCAGGUCGAUGCAACUUGUGGCAUUCAGGCCAGUUUUCCGGUAUUCAGACCAAAGUGGCAUUCAGACCAGUUUUCCGAUGUUCAGAUCGAAGAAGUUUCCGACAUUCAGGUCGAUGCAACUUGUGGCAUUCAGGCCAGUUUUCCGGUAUUCAUACUGAAGUGGCAUUCAGGCCAGUUUUCCGGUGUUCAGACCGAUGUUUGAUAAUCAAGUUUCGUUUGAUGCUUAGAUCGAAGUCAUUUCCAGUAUUCAGAUUGAUGAGCGGCAUUCAGGCCAUGGUUAUUUCUGUGUUACCAUUUAUUUUGGAAUUCAGGCUAACAUUCCUUGUUUCGGUGUUCAGACCGACUCUCACCGUACCAGACGGGUUCUUUUUCAAGACCACCUCUUGGCCGAUUCUGACAGGCAUUGUUACUUCAUUUUUUCACUUCAGUGUAAAUUUUCGAGCUUUUAUCGUACUCAAUCACUUGAUACCUCGAAAGUGUGAACGUCGUUGCUAUCUUCCUUUCGGGUUUCCAGUUGAUUGAAUAGGGGCAACUGUAAUACCCUAAAAUUUACCCUUCAUUGUUCUUGGAAGCAUGGGAUUAUGUUUUAUACUUCAUUAGCAUCAUAUUAGGUCAUACCCAUUGCAUACUGCAUUAGUGACAUGGAGAUCAGGUUUUGAUCGAUCACUCCUUAAUAGAAGGACCCCAUAUAAAGUAAGAUUGAGAAUUGGACUUCAUUUUCUAAGUAUACAAGUCUCAAGGGUCUCAGGGGGGGUCCAGGUAUCUCAUUAUGGUCCCCAGUUCAUCAGUGAAAGAUUCAGAGCUAUCAGAGUGUUCAUUUGGACUUAAUCAGGAAAUUAGGGUUUCAUGGCUACCUGCAAUAGGCAAUGUUUGGUUGGAAGUAGAAGAGCUCAUCCAUGUCAUGAUUAUAGAGGCAUCUUGGCCUAGGAAAAUUCACAAUUAUCUCAAAAAGAUCCAUUGGCAAUCAGUGCAAUCAGUUCUUGAUCAUUUUGCCCUAAAACUAGGGUUUGGUAUAAAAUCAGUUUAUUUCUGAUUCUUUGGGUGAAACUCUUUUCCAUGGCCCUCCAUAUGUCCACAAGGGUCUACAUACAAAAAAUCAGCUCUUUAUUUGAGCUAGAAGUGCUUCAAUUGAUCAAUUGAAUCGGGAAUCAGACAGUUUGGGAAAAAUCAACUAUGGGGCAAGAAAAGUCAACUCCUGACAUUUUGAGAGUGGAAUCUCAAAAUCCAUGCCUAGGGGAUCCUAUAUGUGAAAUUUUAUCAAGGUUGGAUCUUGGAUUCAUCAUUUAAUCAGGAAUUGGAAAAGUUACUUAAUUUGGAAAUGGUUGACCUUCCAUUUAGGGCAAGUUUUCAUGAUCGUUGCACUCACUUUAAGCCCAUUUUGCAUCAAGAUAAAAUCUCCAUUUGAAAAUUUCUCCAAAACGAAAGUUGUUCCUCUUGUUCCAAGCUUUCUAGAGAUAUAAAGUUUGCUCCAUUUGGAUUAGAAUUGAGAAAGUUAUUCUUAGUUAAAGUGAGACAUUUUUUUAGGACACUUAGAAAAAUUUCGAAGUCCAAAAUCUUCAAAAUUUGUCAAGACUUCUUGGCCAGUUUUCUUGCACUUCAAGGCAUUAUUUAAAAAUACUUUCUUCACAACAAUUGUAACUUGCCAUGUCCUCUUUCACAUCCUUUUGGAAUCAUAUCAUUUGGACCCAUGGUUUGAGAGAUACAUUCAUUUAAAGUGGGCACCAUGACUUGAUUUUCUAGGAAGAUUUUGGGCAUGGCUUGCCCAAUCAGAUUUUCUAAGCAUGUUGCACAAACCAGUCACGUUUUUUACCUCUUUUGGCCAUGCAUUGGACAUCCAUUCACUUAAGUUUUGCCCAAAAUAACAACAUUUUACACCUCACUUCACACUUUUAUUCUUAUGGAUAAAUCACUUAUUAAAAAGCCCAUGCGAACAUCUAAUCCACCCUAUUUAAGAAGCUGAAACCCUAACCCUAAAGGAGCAUUAGAAUUUCGUGGAAAGGAGGCAAAGUUUCAUCACAUAUCAGAUUCCAUUCCACUUCUAUUUUCCAUUAGAUAAUCAUCUCUUCCAUGGCCAUGUUUUGAUAUAUCUAUGCUUGCUUACCAUGUUCAUCACCAUUAAUCCUUCCAUUUUCAUAUUUCUUUUUCUUAUUUAAAAUAUUUUCUUCGUCCAUAAAAUUA
RNAcentral lists this long non-coding RNA (18336 nucleotides) under Lathyrus oleraceus (garden pea). RNAcentral describes it as "Pisum sativum (pea) long non-coding RNA (PSAT_LNC035608)". Lineage: Eukaryota; Viridiplantae; Streptophyta; Magnoliopsida; Fabales; Fabaceae. The record is from RNAcentral.